This 480-nucleotide ribosomal RNA is filed under the name uncultured bacterium. RNAcentral's name for it is "SSU rRNA". It matches the Rfam family "Bacterial small subunit ribosomal RNA", at positions 26 to 518 of the family's 1533-position model. The record is from RNAcentral.
AGGACGAACGCUGGCGGCGUGCUUAACACAUGCAAGUCGAACGAGAUCCAACCGGUGGCAACACCGGGAAAGAUCUAGUGGCGAACGGGUGCGUAACACGUGAGGAACCUGCCCCGGUCUCUGGAAUAACAGUGGGAAACCACUGCUAAUACCGGAUAUCUCCUCGGAACCGCAUGGCUCUGAGAAGAAAGGGUUACCGGAUCGGGAGGGUCUCGCGGCCUAUCAGCUUGUUGGUGGGGUAAUGGCCUACCAAGGCUCCGACGGGUAGCUGGUCUGAGAGGACGAUCAGCCACACUGGGACUGAGACACGGCCCAGACUCCUACGGGAGGCAGCAGUGGGGAAUCUUGCGCAAUGGGCGAAAGCCUGACGCAGCAACGCCGCGUGCGGGAUGAAGGCCCUCGGGUUGUAAACCGCUUUCAGCAGGACGAAAUGACGGUACCUGCAGAAGAAGGUCCGGCCAACUACGUGCCAGCAGCCGC